RNAcentral lists this long non-coding RNA (4010 nucleotides) under Citrus x clementina. Its description in RNAcentral is "Citrus clementina (C. clementina) long non-coding RNA (CCLE_LNC000473)". Lineage: Eukaryota; Viridiplantae; Streptophyta; Magnoliopsida; Sapindales; Rutaceae. The record is from RNAcentral.
UUUUUUUUUUUUUGAAAAGGGAAAAUAACAUUUUCAUAACUUCAACAAAAAUAGUACAUCAAUUAUAGGAGCUAGAACACCAACAGCGGAAUCACAUGGGCCACGGGAGGGUUACAGAAAAAUGUUUCAUUGUCUUGUAACUUUCUUUUUAAUUAAUUAAUUAAAAUAAAUAAUUUUUUUGAAAUAUUCCUUGAUUGGGUGGCAAAUUGUUGUCUGCCGAUUGGGAAAGAGUUAAGAACAAAGUUGUAUUUCGAAAUUAUAAAACCUUAAUAAAACCUGAAAAUAAAUAAAGUUUACUUUUAAUCACAAGAAUAUGAUGUAGAAAGUUAGAAAAUGACUUCCAUUCAAAGAAAGGAAGCCAUUCAUUUUGUUACUAUUAUUUGUUUAAGGGAAAAAGAAAAGAAAAGGAGCCACAAGAAACUGGUGAGCAUUGAACGAAGCAAAAUUAACUGACCACUUACUACUUCAUAUUUAAACUUGGAAGUGGGGGAACUGUAAACAACUCAACAAAUACUCAGCAUCACCAAAUAUUGGAACUGUCAAAGAAGUUCUCUCCGAAACCCGUAAACCAAAACCGAAGCCAAACCCAUACCCAGUUUUUGCUGCUCAUAUGAAACAAGAGUUGUAGCAACAACAAGAACGAGAACAAGAGAAAGAGGCCAAGAUUAGUGAUAGCCCCCGCAAAGUUGAAGCCUUUGCCAAGAAUGCUCAAGAUAAGUAGAACUUGAGCAGCAGCAAUGAGGAGGAAAUCAUGUCUCAAGUGUCCAAGAUUUGCAGCGUCAGCGUCAGCGAGAGCCUCUCAACGAUGACUAAUGUCACUGACAUGAGAGACAUUGAAGAGGGCGAGUAAGAAGUGAGGCAACGACCGAGAGUGAUUACUAGAUCUCCGGCAAAGCCUCCGCCGAGAAACGGCUUCAGAAGAGACCGGGUCGUCAACCAAUCCCCCACCAGGAGAUCCGACCAAUCACCCGCCAGACGAAUUGGCAGCGGGUCCCCAGUUCAGAUCCAUGACUCGGGUCGGGUCAAAUUCCCUGGGGAGAAGGGACCGGGGCGAAUGCUCGAGAGGAGUAACUGGAUGAGAAAGGAUGUGGCUCUUAGGGCUCACUUUGUUUUGUGAAAUUAGAAAUUAGGGGAGCGAAAUCGUGGGCUGCAACGGCGAGACAUGGUGCGGCAUGAAGGAAUCACCGGGAGGGGUGACCGCACGAGAGAGGAUGUGUUGUUAGGGAUUUACUGCAAUAGUUUUCCCCAAAAAAAAUAAUAAGAACCUUAAAAAAAUUUUCGAGUUUUUUUUUUUUGUUUUAAAUGAGAUUUUACGAUUUUAGCCUUGUAUACUGAUGGUAUACAUAACUUUGUGAAACUGUAGGGGAGGGAUGUAAAAAUACAGAGAUACUUUCUAUUAAACUGUUAUUACAUGAAACCUCAGGGGAGGUAUGUAAAAAUAACCCACAUUAAGAUAUAAUAUAUUGAUGUAAUUACAAAAACCUCCCCUAUCAUUAAUAUUCUGUUAUCUUGACAGUUAGUUGAUUGUCGAAAUUUCCAUAAUACCCUUGUCUUCAAAUAUUUAAUGAUUAAAUAAAGAUGGACAGUUGGAUAAUAAAAAUCCCGCCAAAAUCACAAAAUAUGGAGUAAAAAUAUUGACAUUGUAUAGUAAUAAAAAAUGAAAUAACAAUAUUGUCCUUGUAAAUAAAUGGUAAUAUUUUUAGCAGCAACACCUAUAAAUGGAGCCUUUGGCAAGCUCAACAAAUCACCAUAGCACACUUCGUUCUUCUUCUUCUUAAAAAAUCUUAACAUCCUUUUCAAAACUCACCACCCAUUCAACUCAUCAACAAAAUCAUUCAACAAAAUCAAUCUCAAACACUGCCUGAAAGCCACAGAUUCUGAUCUCUAAAAAAAUGAAGCAAAAUUUAGCUUGUGGCUUAUGAUAUCAAUGAGGUUUUUAAGUUUCUAAUACUAUGCUACUUUAUUUCUUAAGAUCCUGUUUGAGAUUGAUGUGCUAUACUUUUUAAGCUACAGCUGCAGUGGAAAAAAAAAAUUAUAACUAUCAAAUGAAAGUUAAUAAUAUGUAUUAAAUAUAAAUUUUAAAUAAUAAUUUUGAUAAAAUUAUUAAAUAUAUAAUAAUUUUUUCAUUAUACAAGUGAAAAAUCAUAACAACAUAGCUUACAAGCAACAGCAGAGUGUUUACCAAACAUUUUAGUGCUACCCAACCUCAAUCUCAAGCCCACCAUAAAUCUAUUUCUGAAUUUCUGCACUAACUAUUUGUGCUAGCCCAUGAUCGAAAAGUCUGCUAUCAUAUAAAUGUGCUUACUCUUAACAACUUAUUAUGUCAAACAAAAAUAAAAUCAUACUGACAACAUGUUGAAUAACAAGCAAGCAUAUGAGCAAAUAAUGUACAGUAGCAAGCACGACAAGCAGAUAAUACACAAUAGCAAGCACAAUAAAAUCACAAGCCUCUACUCAAACUACUCCUUAACUGACACAGAAUAUUCAUUCCAACAACAAAAGCAGCAAAAACCAUAAUAAAAUAAAACACCUCAUUAUAAGGCAAUUUAUAAAUUUAUAAGCAUUCCAGCAGCAAUAAGAGUAUCAAAUGUCAUCAACGGAUGAAUUCCAUCAACCUAUACAAAUCAGCAGUAGCCAAUAUCAAGAGGAGCAGCAACUAUAGUAUCAAUUUGCUAUGAUUAGAACAAACAGAAGGCAUACUUAGCCUGUUCAAGCGUGUGAGUUUCUUAAGUAUCACACAACAACAAAGUAUACAAAAAUAUUCAAACCCACAUCUAUGGCUAUAAGUGAGAAAAAGAUGAUACAACAUCUUCAUCAUUCCUAUGCAUGCUUACACUUAAAGGUUAUGUAUCAUCUGAUCGCUCAAAAAUAUAUUGUUAGAUAAGAAUGGCGUGGCUUCUACUGUCUUCACUCCAUAAUUACAACUUGAUGUUUUGAAUGCUGCUGGAUGCAUUAACUUGCUACUAGUCACUCUUCAGUAAGUUGUCCUUCAUGAUUAAAAUAAACAAGUUAAAAUGUAACACAUGCUUUGUAAAUACAUCAUGAGGAAAACAAACUUAUAAACUAAGUAAAUUAAUUUAUUAAGUGAAUUUAAAACAAACAAUGGAAUACUUAUCAUUUCCAUGAACAUUGUCCUGAGCUAGCAGCAGCACAUCGUUUUUAUAGCCUGAUCUCUCUCCCCUAUCUUACAUGUAGAUAAUUACAUAAUGGAAAAAAUUAUGUUACAACAAGAUUUGAAUUUAUUCUAAAUGGCAACAUUACAUAAUCUGCUCUCAACAGCACGAAAACCCCAUUUGCCCCAACAUAACCAACACAGAAGCAAAUGCUCCCUAUUAUAAGCAAAAUCACACAUCCAUUUCAGCUUUUGCAUUAAAUCAAACAAAAAAUCAUCCUUUUCUCAUUAAAUCAAAGACAUACAAGUCAAUUAGUUUAACAAGCAAUAGAUUCAUACAAGUGACAAAACCCACUUUUUUUUUGGUAAUAUAAAAACCAUAACUUUCUAACAUUAUAAAUUAUGAUUGUUUCAAAACUCAAGAAAUCAGAAGGUAUUACUCAAAGAACAACUUGCAGUAGCAUAUUCAUGAAAUUCAACAAACCCAUUUUGAUAUAUAAUUAACACAGUCACAGCAAAAAAAAAAAAAAAAAAAGCAGCAUCGGCAAUAUGUUUUAAAUCACUGAAUCUUCAAAUGCAAGCUGUGAUUUGAAGAUUGACCUCUUAUUCGCUCCAAUCUCAGUCGUGGCUAACCCUGAUCGACGGCGAAAUUUGCUUCGUGGGAGCCUUGGGCCAUUGCAGAGCUCAUCUCGUUCAUCACUCAAGGUACAAUUGCUUGCGAAGUGUUGAUCUUUGCACCAGCUUCUUCGAUGCUUUCUCCAGAGCAAACAAUUAAAAAUGGUUGUGUUGUGGCCUUGUGGGUUUAGUACCAGAAACGAGGAGCAUAUCAAUCCGGUUGGAUGAAACUUUUAUUUUACUUUUGUCCAAUGGUUAAACAAUUGAGCUGGGUAAUUGAGUA